GGAGAAACAGCAAGGAAGAGUCACAGCUGAAGGACUGGGGUGAAUGUACAACUUUGAAUAGGAUCAGGGAGGACCCCUAAAACAGAGGUGAGGAAGCCAGCUAUGUUUCUCUCCCAGGAACAGGGAAUAAGGGCAAGGGCUCUGAGGUCAAAGCUUGCAAUGAAUAGCAAGGAGGAUAGCAUGAACAUAGAGGGAAGCAGAACAGGACAUGAGAGUCCCCAGUUAGUAGUAUCUUGUUAUGGCAGUUCUAGGACCAAUCACAGGGCCAUGGGCCCCGCCACACCGCCAAUUAAAUUGACACAAUUUGCCUUAAUCAGUGAUUUUUGGUGUCUCCGUUUAGUGAGAACAAGUAGAAAAUGGAACAUGAAGACCAUAUCCUUCCCCUAUCUAUACCAUGUUAAAGGGAGAACUGGAAUAUUCAGUUCUCAUGUGAAUGUUAUAGAACCUCUAUGGUUCUAUCUCAUGUAAAUGUGAAUGUAAUAGAACCUCUAUGGUAGGGAAUUAUAUACAGACAAAAAAUUCAGAACAGUCAGUUUCAGUGUAGUUAAAUGUGUUUCCCAUCUGAGUCCACCCUGUUAAAGCAGAUGUUCCUGGGUUGUACCUUGGCAGCUUCCCACCUGGAUCCUUGCUUUUACUUCUUGGCUCUCACAACUGACUCAUUUAUCUUCAAGCACCUUCACACUUGGGUGAAAAGGCUGUAAAUGCACUGUCUGCUUUUGCAUCCCAGUGGUGACAGAGAAUGAGUGAGUGAGUGAAUGUGUGUGUGUGUGUGUGUGUGUGUGUGUGUGUGAGAGAGAGAGAGAGAGAGAGAGAGAGAGAGAGAGAGAGAGAGAGAGAAUAUGAUGAAUAAUAUGAAUAUGAAAAUAUGAAUGAACCAAAAGAAUAGGGAAAAGGGCUCAGGGGCUCCAUGGGAAAUUCAUCCCUCAUCCUGUUCCAUGGCACACAGGAAAACCCUUGGGCUUUUUUCAAAAUUUCACCUCAAAGACAGAUUGGAGUCCCUCCUAUACUCUGCAAAGAUCUGAGGUAUGGGUGUGUGUGUGUGACAUUUAUACAGAGUGGCUUGGGGGAGGAGUGUAAAAAUGAAAGCAAAACUUAAAUCUUGCUUAAGAAACCCUUCUAGCUGCUGUAAUCCCAGUGACUAGGGAGGCUGAAGCAGGAGGCUGGCAAGUUAGAGGACAGCUUGAGCAACUUAGUGAGAGUAAAAGAGUAAAGAGUAAAAGGGACUGGGGAUGUAGAUCAGUGGUAAAGCACCACUGAGUUCAAUCCCCAGUACCAAAAAGAAAAAGAAACCUUUGUAAAUGUCACACAAUCUUAUGUGUCUGUGUGUGUGUAUUGGGGGCAGUGGGGUGAGGUACUGAAGAUACUGGAGUUCUUUACCACUGAGCCUCACCCCCAGCCCUUUUUAUUUUUAUUUUGAGACAGUGUCUCACUAAGUGGCCCAGGCUGGCCUGGAACUUGCUUCAGCCUCCUGAGUCACUGGGAUUAUAGGUGUGCACCAUGAUGGCGCCGAGCUGUGUGGUAUUUAAAAUGCCCAACAUACUUUUCCCCUUCCCUUCCCUUUUACUUUAAUCUACCUUAAGUUAAUCAUGUACAGUUCCUAGUCACUCUUCAAACUGUUCAUUUAGAUUGUUCCCCGAGCAGUCAUUAUGUGCUUUUGAGGUACCAGGUACUAUUAUAAGUGCUGACAUAUACUGUUUCAUUUAAUGCCCCAAUAACCUUAUCAGUUGGGAUUAAUUAUUAUUCACCCUAUUUACAACUAGGGAAAGGAAAAGGCCAAGAAACUUC
Molecule: long non-coding RNA, 1785 nt
Filed under: Marmota monax (woodchuck)
Lineage: Eukaryota; Metazoa; Chordata; Mammalia; Rodentia; Sciuridae
Source: RNAcentral